CCUACGGGAGGCAGCAGUGGGGAAUAUUGCACAAUGGGCGCAAGCCUGAUGCAGCAACGCCGCGUGAGGGACGACGGCCUUCGGGUUGUAAACCUCUUUUAGUAGGGAAGAAGCGAAAGUGACGGUACCUGCAGAAAAAGCACCGGCUAACUACGUGCCAGCAGCCGCGGUAAUACGUAGGGUGCAAGCGUUAUCCGGAAUUAUUGGGCGUAAAGAGCUCGUAGGCGGUUUGUCGCGUCUGCUGUGAAAACUGGAGGCUCAACCUCCAGCCUGCAGUGGGUACGGGCAAACUAGAGUGCGGUAGGGGAGAUUGGAAUUCCUGGUGUAGCGGUGGAAUGCGCAGAUAUCAGGAGGAACACCGAUGGCGAAGGCAGAUCUCUGGGCCGUAACUGACGCUGAGGAGCGAAAGCAUGGGGAGCGAACAGGAUUAGAUACCCUGGUAGUCCAUGCCGUAAACGUUGGGCGCUAGAUGUGGGGACCAUUCCACGGUUUCCGUGUCGCAGCUAACGCAUUAAGCGCCCCGCCUGGGGAUACGGCCGCAAGGCUAAAACUUAAUGAAUUGACGG
This 566-nucleotide ribosomal RNA is filed under the name uncultured bacterium. RNAcentral describes it as "bacterial SSU rRNA". It matches the Rfam family "Bacterial small subunit ribosomal RNA", at positions 338 to 916 of the family's 1533-position model. The record is from RNAcentral.